AAAACAUCAUUUUAUGGUACGGCAUUUUACCAAAAUCAAACUUGUGAGUUGCGAAUAAGCUUUGACAGUUUAGUCCAGAAGCUCGUGAAUCUAACAUGUUACAUGACCUCAUUAAGUGAACAUCAAGGUUAACAAACUCAUUUUCUCAGCACAAGCUACUGACAAGUUAAGCCAUAAAAGUCACCUACACUUUCAGCAGACAAGAGAAGACCUGAGUGAUGUGGCGGUAGGAAGACAUGUGCACGAUGCCCAUCGGAUAACUGUUUCGGUCACCACAAUAUCAAUCUGCUCAAAUUCACCAAGACCAAUUGUGUGGUUCCUCCUGCUCUGGAUGCCUAAGGCUCUAGAUCCAUUGGAUCCGCUCUUUCUAACUUCGGUUGUCUUAUCUCUUACCACUUGCUCAAAGCAUACAGGAGAAUCUGACAACAUAAACACCUUUCCCACACUGGCAUCUUUAUGAAGUAAAUCCACAUCAGAUGCCCUAACAGAUAAAUCAACUUCAUAACUCCCUUGAUCAACAACUGAAUUCGAGCCGAAGAAUGUAAAACUAGGCAGCGUUAGAACAGGAGAAGCAAAGUCAUGGCCAUUUGAUCCAUUAGUACCACUGAAUGAGAAUACAGCGGAUCCAUAGGAAGUUGUUGAUUGUUCGGUUAGUAAAGUAGAAAAUGAUGAUUUGCAUGUGAAUUUUGGCGAUUGGGCAUCAAUUAGAACAGCAGAACCUGGACCAAAACUGAUAUCCUGAUUCCGAGUCAUGAGAGAAGAGCAGCAGGAGCCUUCAUCUGAAUGCACUUUUAGGCAUGGCCCAUCAAAAUGCGGUGAGAUAUCCCGUACCCAAGCAUGAUCUAGAAUUUGCUGAGGUGUAAGCCUCUGGGAAGGAUCCGUACAUAACAUUCCUUUAAUCAACUCUUUUGCUGAAGAUGAUAUUGUAUCCCAGCGAUCAGACGGAAACCGCAAAUCCGCUGCCCUGACAGCAUCAAAGAUCUUUGACUUUGUCUUCCCCCAAAAUGGUGGUAUUCCACUAAGAAGAAUGUAAAGAAUAACACCAGUGCUCCAGAUAUCAGCUGCUUCAUUAUAACCUCCUGCCAGGACCUCAGGAGCUAUAUAAAAUGGGCUGCCAACAGUACCAUGCAAAUUUUGACCUGGCUUGAUGUAAGUUGCGAGACCAAAAUCAGCUAAUUUUAUCGGAGACGAAGAACCCUUUGUAGCCAAAAGAAUGUUCUCUGGCUUAAGAUCUCUGUGUACAAUGCCUUUAUGAUGACAGUACAUCACCACUUCCAUUAGGUCAUGGAAGAGAACCCUGGCUUCAGCCUCAGAAAAUCUACCAUGCCUCUCGAGCUGGUGGAAAAGUUCUCCCCCAGCACAAAGCUCCAUUACUAGAUGUACACAAUCUUCUUCCUCGUAAACCGCCUUGAGAUCUACAACAUUUGGG
This 1429-nucleotide unclassified non-coding RNA is filed under the name Hevea brasiliensis (rubber tree). Lineage: Eukaryota; Viridiplantae; Streptophyta; Magnoliopsida; Malpighiales; Euphorbiaceae. The record is from RNAcentral.